UCUGCCUUCUUUAUUUACUACCUUGUGAUAUAUUUAACCACCAUAAAGCACUUGUGUCACCAUAAAGCACAUACAGAAGUGACAACAUUUCAGUUUCUUCAUCUCCAAAAAGAAUAUAGGCACAGAAAUUAAAUGAUAAGAUGACAGUAAGAAUUAAAUGCUUACAAAUAGAAUUAUAAGUUUCAAGAACAUAAUAAAUAAGGUAUUAAUGCUAGCUACUAUUGCUAUCCAAUAUAUUGGAGUAUACUAAGAUCUUUCCCACCUCAAUCUCUUAGUACAUUAUUCUCCACAUAAUUUGGUCUCUCUUAUAACUCCAGGGGCUCAAUAACACUAGCUGAAUGAAUGAAUGUUUGGAUUAUCAUUAUUCAUUUUCUUAGUAAUAAUAUUAGCAUUAGGCUUUAUUAAUUCACUAGUCAAGAAUUUUCAUGAUUUCUUUAUAGAUAGUUAAAGACCUCUUAUGAAGCAUUAUUGUUUUCUCAAAAAUCUGCCAUUAGCAUUGGAAGGAAUUGUAAUUGAGCCCCCAUCUUGCCUGUGGUAAAACUCAUUUACAUCAUCUUCCAAAAGACAACUAAUGAUGAGCAGAAAAAUAUUACAUUCAGAAGAAUCUGUUUCAAAAUGCUUUAGGCAGGACUUUCAAAUAUGAAAACAAUUCUUCGACAACAUUUUAAAGGGAAAACACUAAACUAUUCAUUGCAACCCUGCACACUUGAUUUUUGCAGACCUUCGACUGACUCAACAACUGUCGUUUGACCCAGAUAUCUUUGUAUGAUGUGUCUUUACAAAGGCCAUAGCAAAUAUUUCAACCAACUUCCUCAAGAUAUAAGCGGAAAUGUAGCACAGGAUUAAAAUACCAGGUGUGAAAUAUGGAAAUCGGAAAAACACAACAGUGUGGUGGAAGGAGCACUAUAUCAGAGCAAAUAGUGACAUUUUCUGCUGCUGCUGCUUCUACUUCCGUCUACAUAUUCCAGGAUCUCUUCAAUCUGUGAGUCAUUCUAUACCAUGUCAUUACGAUAUACAUUCGCACAGUUAGCACUGCCUGACUGAGCUUUUCCUCCUCUUCUUUGCUGUCUCUUUUUCUCUUUCCCUGUUGUUUUAUCUUAUAAGCUCCAAUAGCUCUCUUUAUGGGUAAUAAAGAUGGAAGAAAAACACUCUCCAUCUUAUAUUUUGUAAUUUUAAAAUUUAGGUUGUCAUAGCAAUGUGAUAAAAUUUUUAAAAUAGAAAAGAUUUUCCUUAUCCACAGCAGAACUUUUUUCUGUUUACACAUACAUAGAAGUAUUUAAAUGGGAAAAUUUUAUGAAAAAAUCAGUUUGUACACAGAACUUUAAAAAUCCACAGUACACAUAAAUAAAAGGAACUUCAAAUAUCAAAGUUUGCAAUUUAAUUUUAAAAAGUUAAACUCAGCUGUUUGUAUUUUAACAACUAAUAGUCAGCAUGUUUUUAUCCAGUCAUUUAUUUACAUCUAGCAUUAUUGUAUAUAUCGAUUGGAUUCACGAGCGUCAUAGAAACAGACUUUGAAGUAAAUUAGGCUUCAAAUCCAAUUGUUUAAUUCUCUCAAAUAACAGAUUUAAAAAACUGUUAUUUCAGGAAAUUGUAUAACUUCCAUUAUUUUAUUUUCAGACAUAGUGCCAUCCUACAAGACCCUCAAUGUCAGCCACUGUAUUUGUUGAUUUACGUUAUCUCAAAUUUUUAAAAUCCCCCAAAGUAGGAACAUUUUUUCUAAUGUAUUAGGCAACUGAAGCCCAGAGAAAAUGAGACAUUUGAGAA
This 1764-nucleotide long non-coding RNA is filed under the name Macaca mulatta (Rhesus monkey). RNAcentral's name for it is "lncRNA (ENSMMUG00000053580.1)". Lineage: Eukaryota; Metazoa; Chordata; Mammalia; Primates; Cercopithecidae. The record is from RNAcentral.